AAUUUGAUUCGGGCGUUCGCCCCAUUGGGGAGGAAAGUCCGGGCUCGAGAAGUCAGCGCGCCGGGGAUAAUCCCGGGCACUCGGAGUUAAUCCGUAUGACGGAAAGUGCCGCAGAAACAAAACCGCCCCAUUAGGGGUAAGGGUGAAAAGUGCGGGAGUAAGACCCCGCUCGGCGUGUCGAGAGGCACUGCCGUGGUAAACCCCGCGUCGAGCAAGGCCAAAUAGAAGGGUAGGGGCGGCUUCCCCCGAUGACCCUUGGGUGGGCCGCUGAAGUGCAUGGGCAACCGUGCAUAGAGAUAGAUGGAUGCCCCCCUCUCGCGAGGGGACAGAACCCGGCUUAUAGAAUCGAAUUAUUC
RNAcentral lists this RNase P RNA (356 nucleotides) under Candidatus Zixiibacteriota bacterium. Its description in RNAcentral is "RNase P RNA component class A". It matches the Rfam family "Bacterial RNase P class A". From Rfam's summary of the family: Ribonuclease P (RNase P) is a ubiquitous endoribonuclease, found in archaea, bacteria and eukarya as well as chloroplasts and mitochondria. Its best characterised activity is the generation of mature 5'-ends of tRNAs by cleaving the 5'-leader elements of precursor-tRNAs. Cellular RNase Ps are ribonucleoproteins. Lineage: Bacteria; Pseudomonadati; Candidatus Zixiibacteriota. The record is from RNAcentral.